ACGAACGCUGGCGGCGUGCUCAACACAUGCAAGUCGAACGCGCCUGUCCUCUGGGUUUCUGGGGGGUGGGUGAGUGGCGAACGGGUGAGUAACACGUGAGUAACCUGCCCCCUUCUUCGGGAUAACGGUCUGAAAGGGCUGCUAAUACCGGGUAUUCACUGGUCUCCGCAUGGGGUCUGGUGGAAAGGUUUUUUUCUGGUGGGGGAUGGGCUCGCGGCCUAUCAGCUUGUUGGUGGGGUGAUGGCCCACCAAGGCUUUGACAGGUAGCCGGCCUGAGAGGGUGACCGGUCACAUUGGGACUGAGAUACGGCCCAGACUCCUACGGGAGGCAGCAGUGGGGAAUAUUGCACAAUGGGCGCAAGCCUGAUGCAGCGACGCCGCGUGAGGGAUGGAGGCCUUCGGGUUGUGAACCUCUUUCGCCCGUGGUCAAGCCGCGACGUGGGUCGUGGUGAGGGUAGUGGGUAAAGAAGCGCCGGCUAACUACGUG
This 487-nucleotide ribosomal RNA is filed under the name uncultured bacterium. Its description in RNAcentral is "partial 16S ribosomal RNA". It matches the Rfam family "Bacterial small subunit ribosomal RNA", at positions 29 to 507 of the family's 1533-position model. The record is from RNAcentral.